This 253-nucleotide ribosomal RNA is filed under the name uncultured bacterium. RNAcentral's name for it is "partial 16S ribosomal RNA". It matches the Rfam family "Bacterial small subunit ribosomal RNA", at positions 524 to 776 of the family's 1533-position model. The record is from RNAcentral.
GACAGAGGUCCCAAGCGUUAGGCGGAAUCACUGGGCUUAAAGCGUGUGUAGGCGGACUUCUAAGUACCUUGUGAAAUCCCACGGCUCAAUCGUGGAACUGCUUGGUAUACUGGUUGUCUUGGGCCAUCUAGGGGCUAGCGGAACAAACGGUGGAGCGGUGAAAUGCGUAGAUAUCGUUUGGAACGCCAAUGGUGAAAACAGCUAGCUGGGGAUGUGCCGACGCUGAGACACGAAAGCCAGGGGAGCGAACGGG